This 205-nucleotide ribosomal RNA is filed under the name uncultured bacterium. RNAcentral's name for it is "partial 16S ribosomal RNA". It matches the Rfam family "Bacterial small subunit ribosomal RNA", at positions 524 to 729 of the family's 1533-position model. The record is from RNAcentral.
UACGGAGGGGGCUAGCGUUGUUCGGAAUUACUGGGCGUAAAGCGCACGUAGGCGGCGAUUUAAGUCAGAGGUGAAAGCCCGGGCUCAACCCGGAAUAGCCUUUGAGACUGGAUUGCUAGAAUCUUGGAGAGGCGAGUGGAAUUCCGAGUGUAGAGGUGAAAUUCGUAGAUAUUCGCGAAGAACACCAGUGGCGAAGGCGGCUCAC